ACAAUAGUAGUAUAAUGAGUAUGUCUGUCUUCCAAACAGAUGGUUCUUGAUGGACUGUUGUA
Molecule: transfer RNA, 62 nt
Filed under: Callista chinensis
Lineage: Eukaryota; Metazoa; Mollusca; Bivalvia; Venerida; Veneridae
Description: tRNA-Gly
Source: RNAcentral